This is a long non-coding RNA of Choloepus didactylus (southern two-toed sloth), 4562 nucleotides long. RefSeq lists it as uncharacterized. The record is from RefSeq and is a predicted model, not a curated record. Lineage: Eukaryota; Metazoa; Chordata; Mammalia; Pilosa; Megalonychidae. The transcript is spliced from 4 exons.
GCUGGGCGGCUUCUCUGAGCGCGCGGUGACUCGGCGCCGGGGGCGGGGGCGGGGGCGGGGGCGGGCUGGCGCCGGCCGCCCCGUCCCCUCCCCGCGCGGGAUCUUGUCCCUCAGCCCCGGGCCGAGCAAGGCGCGAGAGUCGUUGGCGCUACCCUGGCCCUCCCCGCUCGGCCGAGGGACCCCAGGGUCGCCGCUCCCCCGGACCCCUGCUCCCUGGGGGUGUGCGGGCAGCUCUCCUCUCAGGCCCCCGACGUGCCCUGAGGGGCACCGAGGGCCGCUCUGAAGGCCGGGGUUGCUCCGCGCACCCGAGACCUCGCGACCCGGCCGGUGCCCGGCCCGACUCGCCCCUUCCGGCGGCCUUCGGAUUCCUCGGCCUGGGGGCCCCGAGACGCUCUGGAAAGUUUUGAUUUGGGGCGGGGCAGGGACUCGAACUUGCCAAUCACUGACAGGUUGCGGAUUGAGGCCACAGAUUUCUGGAGGCAUUUGGGGGAUGUAAAGAGCAUCAGAGACAAAUUGGUGGUUGCAGUUAUUACUCUGUGGUUUUCACCUGAGGCUUGCACUCGGGGGAAACAGGAAAUGAGGAUUUGCAGCGUUUAUCCGGCAGAAGCUGAGAAGAUUGAAACCCAAGCUGCCCGCUCCCUCUCCAGUCUGUCACCCAAAGCAGAAACCUGGUGAAGGCCGUUGGAAACUCCGGAUAUGGAGGGACAGGAAGGAUGAGCUUCUCCUUAGAAUGCCUUUUUUUGUGUGGCCAUUGCUUUUGUCCCGUAUCAUUCUUGGAAAUAAUUAAGGAUUUUGUUUAUUCCUCUUUCUUCCCAGAGGACUCCCAGACCCCAAAUUGCAGUUGUCACUGGCCUGCUCGUUUCUCUCAGCCCUGGGAUUCCCUGAGUCACUGAUUGCAGGAGCUGAGAGAGACUUCAGGGAUUCUGGAGUGCCUCCUCAAGUGGGCACCAGCCUCUAUUUGAAACAUGCCCAGUGACAGGGCACUUCUUGUCUUCUGUUGGAGUGCUGGUUCAGGCUGUGCCCUCUGUCCCCGAAGCCGGCCAUCUCCAGCAUUUCCCAGUGGAGAGAUGGCUUCGCUUCACCUUGCAGCCCUAUGGAGAAUGCAUGCUUAGGCCCUUGGGUGUCUUAGAACCGGAGAAGGGACCUCUGUGGCUAAACCAGGGAUGGAGUCAGAGGUCAAGAGUGUUCAUGUAGUAGGUACAGGUUGAAUCCAGGGCACAGUGAAGGAUGAAGAACGUACCUGGAGGGCCAAAAGGAAGUAUCCAACACACCAUGCAGUCUUACUUCUGAUUUGAAGGAGAAACUGACUAGUGAAACAACCUGAGGGAUGGAGCUGUGAACAACGGAGCUGGCUGCCAUCUGCUUCUCUGGAAUCCUGUCUUGUGUAUAGUGGUUCCUCUCUCAGUGCGGAACGAAUGGGUCAACUGUGAUAGAGUUAGGUGGUAAAUCUCACGAAGGAGCCUCAGCUGUGUGAAUUCUCCAUGAGACUUGGAGGGAAGGCUAUAGGGACUGAAUGAUUUCUGUGGAGGCAAAUCCUAUGCCCAUUGAUAUCCCCCUGCUAGUUUGUAACAGGCCAGCCUCUUCAGGUUAAAAGAACAGAUAGGAUCAGGGGAGACCUUGGCCAUAACGUCAGUCCUUCUUCUCUGGAACCCAAGUUGGCUCAAAGCAUCCAUUCUCAAUAUCACCCAAGACAGACAGAUGACUGUGCCUUUCAACAGAUAGCGGGUGUGGGUUGGGAUGACUCACCUGCUCUGUUGCCGCCUACAGCUCAGCUCGAAGCCCUUGGGAAUCAACACACUCUCCUGAGAGAGGCACAGAAAGCUCUCCUUAGAGAUGGUAGCUUGGGUUCCUGCUUCUGCAAAUGUCUGUCACUGUCCUAAUGUUUAAAAGCUCAGGUCAGCGGGGCACCAUCCAACUGGACAGUCUUGGAAAACAGGUGGAAGAAGCACCCUCGAAGAUGGUGCCCUGAUCUGGGCAUUAGAAGACCUAGAUUUUAAUUGGGCUUUUCCAGUAGUUCACUGUGUGUCUAUAAAAGAAAGGCAUACGUUCUUCAAGUAAAAAAUUUUUCGAACAUCUACUCCCACCAGAUACUGUGCUAACUAAGGGCAGGGAGAGUGAUGAGCAAUCAAACCUAUCCCUACCCUUGAUGAUCUCGGUCUUUGUAAACACAUACAAAUCAGGGCAAUAAAUAUUAUCCUGAGGUGUUUGAGGAGCAUGGAAGAGAAAGUAACUAAUCCUCCCUAGGGGGAAUGAGCAAGUCAGGGAAGAUUUAACCGAGGAAAUGAUGCUUGAGUGAGUGCUUGAAAUUGGAAUUCUGGCCAAUGCAGAUGAGAGUAAGUAUACUGCAUCUCUGGAGAAUAUUAUGCAUUAUAGUGUCAGUGUCUUAUGUAGAGGGAUAAUGGUGAAGAAAGAAGGUAAGACAUGAAGGUAAAUCCUAGUUUAAUAGUGAAAGGCCUUAUCCUGAGGUUAGAGGGGAGACAUUGAACCAUUUGGGGCAGGGCAAGACAUGGUCAGAUCUAUGUUUUAGAAAGAUCACUCUGGCAGCAGUAUGGUGUGGUGAAUUGGAAGGGUCAAAGAUGAAGAGAGAGACACUGAUUAGAAGAGGUUUAGAAUCUCACAGGAAAGAAGUUUAAGGACUUUUACUGUGGAAUUAGAGAAGAAGUUUAGGCUAGAUGAUCCCUAAAACUAAAGUUCUUUGUUCCUGAACCCACCUGUAUCUUGGGUGGUUUUUGUUCCUGCCUCUUCCCCACCCCACUCCUAGUUGAUUACUUGAUUGCUUGCUUGUGCUCCAGUCUGGAGGUCUGUGACCUGUUUGGGUUUUGACCCUAUACAAUUUCCCUGUUUGUCAGUUCUGUUCACCCAGCACUUCAGAUGAGACCCCAGCUCCUUGGAAGCCAACUAGUAGAAAGCUGUUAUCUCACUCUCACCUCCAGUUCUGACUCGGCUCUUUGCUCUGGCCUUGAACCAAGGAACUCCACAUUGGCAAUAGCAUCUAUGCUAUCCAUCCCAUUACUCUUUCCUAAAGGAAGGAUGAGACACCAGUCUCAUAAGAUUUUGACAAGCAGGAAUCAGAAAAACUGAUUAAAGUCUAGUUUGGGACCUUGGUCCGAGAGAGAGCAGAAGGUGAACUACAGGGCAGAAAGGAAGGAGUAGCAAGUGGUCUCAGUCUCUUGGGUUGCCUCAAGUUGGGGGUAGGAUUCAGACUAGAUCUAGCCUCUAAGGGUCCAGGCUGGAUUCCAGCCAGCCUGGGUGUGAGGUUGGGGGCCGAGUGGCAUCUGAUGCUCUAUUUCCCAAAUGUCAUGACAUUUCUUCAGUCUGCAUCUUGUAACCGAGAAAUUAAGAAUUAACAAAUGAUUAUGAUUACUGAAUCAUUAUAUAGAUGUUUUUAUUUCUAUAUUGUAGAAAAGGCAGAAAUUAAUGCCUGAAAUUACUGAAUGUCAAUUAGUCUCACCCUUGUUUAUACUUACUAUUGUAGUGGUUAUUAUAGUGUAGUCUUAGCCUUUGCUUACACUUGCUAUUGUGAUAGUAUCGACUCUACCUUCCCUUGUUCAAAUUCCUAAAAUCCCUAAAAUCCUCAGACUUGGGGAGACAGAUUUUUAAGCUGAGAGGCGAUCUGAUCUCCUGCUUUGCUCACAGCAAUAAAUCUUUCUCUCUUUGAAACCCCAGUGUGAUAGAUUGGCUGUUAUGUGCAUUUGGCAAAGAAUCCCGCUUUUGUUCGCUAUCGGUUUGGCAACCCAUAUGGGACCAAGGGUCCCUAAGGAAUGAGGUGUCCAACUGCCCAAAGUCCUGGAGCCCCAGCAGGACAGGUAUGUGUGAUAAUCAAGCCGUUUGUGACUUCCAGACCUUGUUUGUUGUGGGGGUCGGAUUGGGUGCAGAAAGAUGGGAAGGGUGGCUUGGUUCAGAAUUCUUUCUAUUGAGCCUGGAGAUUAGAAAUGGUAGCCAUAGGGGAAGUGUUACAGAAUAAGCCAUGUUUGUUCUGAGACUUCUCAAAUUAAAAAAAAUUUUUUUUUCCAAUGAUACCUUUGCAAUGGUAGCUGUAGUAAAAAACAAUCCAUUAUUAAAGCAUAAAUGGCCUUGAAAUAGGGGUAAUUGAAUAAAAUCUAAUUGCCAAAUUUCAGUAAAUAAAGGAAAAUGUCCUUAGGAAGUAUAGAAAAGUUUUCCUGGAUUUAUGCUUGGAACAAAUUAAACAUUGUAGUAUAUUUUCCAGAACUUGAUAGUGUGCUUUCAAGGUUGUUCAUAAUUUUAGGAUAUUAUGAAAACAAAAAAGAAUUUUUAAACCACCAAUAGAAGAAAAUAAGGCAAAUAGAGCUACAAAAAAAUACAGUGACAAAGUCUAGUCCUAUUCCUGUUUUUUAUAAUACUUUUGAACCAAACAAAUACAAUUUUAUUCUCAUUGUGUAUGUUCUCCCUAGAUUUAUACAAGUUUACUAAUAAAAUAAACUAGCAUUGUAUCUAUUAGAUCUUUUUUUUUUUUAAUCUUCAUUUUAUUGAGAUAUAUUCACAUACCACGCAGUCAUACAAAACAAAUCGUACUUUCGAUUGUUUACAGUACCAUUACAUAG